AACAUCUAAGUACCCCGAGGAAAAGAAAUCAACCGAGAUUCCGAAAGUAGCGGCGAGCGAAAUUGGACUAGCCCUUAAGCUUUACACGCGUUAGACGAACGGUCUGGAAAGUCCGACGAUACAGGGUGAUAGUCCCGUAGUUGACGACGUGUGUUCAGUGAAAUCGAGUAGGGCGGGACACGUGAUAUCCUGUCUGAAUAUGGGGGGACCAUCCUCCAAGGCUAAAUACUACUGACUGACCGAUAGUGAACCAGUACCGUGAGGGAAAGGCGAAAAGAACCCCUGUGAGGGGAGUGAAAUAGAACCUGAAACCGUGUACGUACAAGCAGUAGGAGCAGGCUUGUCCUGUGACUGCGUACCUUUUGUAUAAUGGGUCAGCGACUUAUAUUCAGUGGCAAGGUUAACCAUCUAGGGGAGCCGUAGGG
This 425-nucleotide ribosomal RNA is filed under the name Vibrio parahaemolyticus. RNAcentral describes it as "partial 23S ribosomal RNA". It matches the Rfam family "Bacterial large subunit ribosomal RNA", at positions 197 to 673 of the family's 2925-position model. Lineage: Bacteria; Pseudomonadati; Pseudomonadota; Gammaproteobacteria; Vibrionales; Vibrionaceae. The record is from RNAcentral.